UACGGGGGGGGCAAGCGUUGUUCGGAAUUACUGGGCGUAAAGGGCUCGUAGGCGGCCAACUAAGUCGGAUGUGAAAUCCCCAAGCUUAACUUGGGAACUGCAUCCGAUACUGGAUGGCUUGAAUCCGGGAGAGGGAUGCAGAAUUCCAGGUGUAGCGGUGAAAUGCGUAGAUAUCUGGAGGAAUACCGGUGGCGAAGGCGGGAUCCUGGGCCAGUACUGACACUGAGGCGCGACAGCGUGGGGAGCAAACAGG
Molecule: ribosomal RNA, 253 nt
Filed under: uncultured bacterium
Lineage: Bacteria
Description: partial 16S ribosomal RNA
Rfam family: Bacterial small subunit ribosomal RNA
Source: RNAcentral